Camellia sinensis is the source of this 1598-nucleotide non-coding RNA. The record is from RefSeq and is a predicted model, not a curated record. NCBI's taxonomy places the organism in Eukaryota, Viridiplantae, Streptophyta, Magnoliopsida, Ericales, Theaceae.
UUAUUGAUUUCUUUUCUCUCCCAAUUUCUCUCCACUUUUGGAGAGAUUCAAAAUGAGGGUUAUAAGAGAAAUGGUCAUUUCUCUCCUCUUUACUUAUCUAAAUAGGUGAUAUGAACCAAGAGAAGGUUUUUUUUUUUUUUUUCCUUCCCAAAUCACCUAAUCCAAACGGGUGUAUAGUAUUGAUAUGAUAACUCGAUAGAUUUGUACUUAUUGUGGAAUUGACCAUAGCCAUAUUAAUGGAAGAAGUUGUUCAUGAUUUGCAAUUAACCUAAAAAUUCUUGUGGUGGGAUGAUUUCUAGCUCCUUCUUUCCCAAAGUGAGACUAAGGUCUUGAUUGUAUUUCAUGCCCAAGAAUCAAACCACCAGAGUAACUGUCUGGAAGUUUGGCCAGGGGAGCACUCUGAUGACUAAGUUAGCUCCUUUCCUUGUUAAGGGUAUAUAAGGGGCGGAUAUGAGGGGAGACCGGAUAUAAUAUGAGGUGGGUCCCAAAUGUUUUUUUGUCUUCUUAUAUCUCGUGUUUGAUUGCUCCAGAUAUAGGGAGUCCGGAUGGUAUAUGCCUCGAACGGGGGGUAUGCAAUACCAACCCCCUAUGGUAUUGUAUAUCUCCCACCGUCAGAUAUAGAGAAUCUUUUAUCCAAAUGUCAAAAUUAAUUACUUUCUCUUAUCCCAUCUUAUAUCCUAUUUAAACCAAACAUAAUAUAAGUGACCCCACAUUAUAUAUAAUUAAUCUCAUAUCUUACAACAUAUUAUAUCCCAUCUUUAUCCUUAGGUAUUACAUAUCCUUCUCAAACCUUUAUAUCCAAUCCGGACAAUCAAACGGGACCUUAGAGGAUAUAUUUUCACAUACCUUUCAAUCAUUGUUCCUUCCCUAGUUAUAGAGGUGGGUUGGUUUGCGAUAAACACCUUUUCUCUCUCCUGGACCAUGUUUGAGCACAUGAGGACUAUCCUCAAUGCUCUUGCUUGGAUGUGUCAGCUCUCACAUUCCGAUGAGGACUUCACCAACGUUGCUUUGGCAUGCUGCUCUUGCAUAAUGUGUCAGGUGGCUUUCUUAGGGUUAGUUGGUUCAGUUUUUCAGUAGGAGUCUUCCAUGCCAAUAUGGCAGUUGAUAUUAGGCUGAUUACCUGUUGCCUUGGUUGGCUACAGGACCUAUUUGAUGCCGACUUUGCCAUUCAAGCCCUGCAUUCCAGAGAUUCACUGUGAGGACAUCAAAGACGAUUGAGAAUAUUUCUAAUACGGCUGCCCAGAAGAAGCAAGAACUUGCUGAUCAGAUGAAAGAUUUGUCGAAAAAUUUUGAGAAUUUUAAAAAUCAGUGAUUCUUGGCUGUAGUUAGAACCCAUGUUCUACAGAUAGAUUGUAUAAGAGUUUUGAGCUCUCUUUUGGUUUCAUCCUGCUCUGACUUCUGAUGGGCGGGGGCGGUAUUGUAAUUUUGGGAGAUAUGGACAUAAUUUUAUGUUAAUGGAUCAGUAGUCUUUUAUUAAAGCCAAUGACAUUGUGGUUAGUCUUGUAGCAUGUAUCCUAAGAAUGUGGAAUCCUGGUUUGAAUGAGUUGGAUCAUCCUGUUUCUAUCCGCUUGCUUAUAAACUUUUGCAAUUUGUACACA